CUCUUAGAGUGAAGAAGGAAAGGUUGCUGAAGGUCAAGGAGGCUACUGCUGUCCUCAGAUGGGGCAGCCCCUCUCUUCCCCACCUGGUCACGUAGGUCCUGUGGCCAAGUAUACUCUCACCAGAAAAGGGAACUGAAUCCAGUUUCUUCCCCUUAGGAUCCAAGGGAGUUAAGUCACUAAUGAUUGCAAAGCAAAUAAGAGACAAUAGCAGAAUGCAGAACUCAGGUCUAUUCUAAACCUACGCCCUUCCCAUGUAUAUCACUCAAGCUUCUCAAGCAGGAAACAGAAGCACAUAGCUGUGGUCCGUGGGACAGGAAGGCACAAUUACUGCUGCUGCUGGGAGGAGAGGAAGCUUUGCCCUGGAUUCCUUCAUGAAACACUGGCUUCCCAAAGUCAGCUCAACUGACCUCUCCAUGUGUGGGAGAGGCUAAAGCCUAACCAUCUCCAUGACUAUACCUGUCAGCAAUAGCAAACUAAUGAGCCUAAAAAUGGCUUCCUCCUCACUUCUGCCUUCCGCCGUUUUGUCGUAUACGUGAUGACAUCCCAGGAGGAGGGGAUACACCCUGAGCAGGCCAGCCCUUCGUGUUUGCCAUUCCAUUACCUCAUGGUACCUUUUGUACUCCAUGCUUGAAUGUUCACUCAGAAAGGUGAUACUUCAUAUGGGAAAUUACUUCCUCACCGAAAGGCGUUUAAACCCUUGUGAAGUUCCCACAGCAUGGAAAAGAAUAUUGGGUCCUGCAGAGACAAUGAAACAAUUAAAGCAGAAGACACUCAUCUUGGCCCUAAGAACAAAGCAUCAUUCACAUGGCCAGUGUGUUACAGCAGAUAUGACAAGCGCAGACCUUUCUGUAGAAAUCAACUGAUUCUGAGAAAAUCAACAAAACUGCAGUAUCUGACACAUAAUAGCAACCAAAUGAUUAUCUAUUAAGAGAAAAACCAAAACUGGAAGGCUAUAUUUUGGGCAAGUACAUAAACAUAAUUAAAACCUGUUAAUAAGAGCCUGAAAGGUUAAAAACAGAUACCGUAGCCCCAACUUAGUAGGACAGUGAACCACCGGUGACAUAGAAAUAGAAUUCAAACCCUACACACCA
Bubalus bubalis (water buffalo) is the source of this 1091-nucleotide long non-coding RNA. RefSeq lists it as uncharacterized. The record is from RefSeq and is a predicted model, not a curated record. Lineage: Eukaryota; Metazoa; Chordata; Mammalia; Artiodactyla; Bovidae. The transcript is spliced from 4 exons.